AGUGAACGCUGGCGGCGUGCUUAACACAUGCAAGUCGAACGAGAACGGAUUAUAGCUUGCUAUAAUUGUCAGCUAAGUGGCGCACGGGUGAGUAAUGUAUAGGUAAUAUGCCUCUUACUAAGGGAUAACAAAUGGAAACGUUUGCUAAUACCUUAUACUCCUUAUUAACAUAAGUUAAUAAGGGAAAGAUUUAUUGGUAAGAGAUUAGCCUGUAUUGUAUCAGUUAGUUGGUGGGGUAAUGGCUUACCAAGACUAUGACACAUAACUGGUUUGAGAGGAUGAUCAGUCACACUGGAACUGAGACACGGUCCAGACUCCUGCGGGAGGCAGCAGUGGGGAAUAUUGCACAAUGGACGAAAGUCUGAUGCAGCAACGCCGCGUGGAGGAUGACACAUUUCGGUGCGUAAACUCCUUUUAUGUGAGAAGAUAAUGACGGUAUUAUAUGAAUAAGCACCGGCUAACUCCGUGCCAGCCGCCGCCGUAA
Molecule: ribosomal RNA, 484 nt
Filed under: uncultured bacterium
Lineage: Bacteria
Description: partial 16S ribosomal RNA
Rfam family: Bacterial small subunit ribosomal RNA
Source: RNAcentral